CUGAGAAUGAAGAGAAGGGAGGGCCCAUAAGUUAAAAAACAAGGAGUUGGUAGAAAGAUUUGUGGUUAAUUGCUGACAAAUAGUACCCUAUAUAUUAUUCCACAUGCAGUUUUUGCAACUGUGUUGUAACUAAUUCUAAAAGCAAAAGCAAAAUGAAAAUUGAAAUUUAAAAAAGGUAUCUUUAUCAAACAUCAGAUAAUCCUUUUCUUGAAUGAAAGGUCUAUUACUGUGAAUGUCAACCCUGAUUUCUCCCUGUUUUUCUAUCAGACAAAAAUCCCAGUCAGUGUCAGCCUAACUGUAUGCAGUUCUCCUCCCGUUCCCUCAUGGCCAGGCCUGCUGUGCAGUACUCCAGCUGAAGAUUCUGUGAGACUCCUUAGAAGUGCAUGAAUUCUAGACCAAAUGAAUGUGAUGAAAAUCCAAACAGGGACACAAGAACAGGUUACUGGUGAAGAAACUGGUGAAGAAAACCUCAAACCAGGAAAAGCACUGGAGUUCUAAACCACCAGAAACAGUCACAUUUACUGAGAUAUGACAGGAAAGGUACAGAAGAAAAUCUUACAGAUUUUGUUCUUGAGAGAAACAUAGGAAUUGGUCUUCUGGUC
This 602-nucleotide long non-coding RNA is filed under the name Cyanistes caeruleus (blue tit). RNAcentral's name for it is "lncRNA (ENSCCEG00000010240.1)". The record is from RNAcentral. Lineage: Eukaryota; Metazoa; Chordata; Aves; Passeriformes; Paridae.